GACGAACGCUGGCGGCGUGCUUAACACAUGCAAGUCGAACGGAAAGGCCCUGCUUUUGUGGGGUGCUCGAGUGGCGAACGGGUGAGUAACACGUGAGUAACCUGCCCUUGACUUUGGGAUAACUUCAGGAAACUGGGGCUAAUAACGGAUAGGAGCUCCUGCUGCAUGGUGGGGGUUGGAAAGUUUCGGCGGUUGGGGAUGGACUCGCGGCUUAUCAGCUUGUUGAUGGGGUAGUGGAUUACCAAGGCUUUGACGGGUAGCCCGCCUGAGAGGGUGACCGGCCACAUUGGGACUGAGAUACGGCCCAAACUCCUACGUAAGGCAGCAGUGGGGAAUAUUGCACAAUGGGCGGAAGCCUGAUGCAGCAACGCCGCGUGCGGGAUGACGGCCUUCGGGUUGUAAACCGCUUUCGCCUGUGACGAAGCGUGAGUGACGGUAAUGGGUAAAGAAGCACCGGCUAACUACGUG
RNAcentral lists this ribosomal RNA (468 nucleotides) under uncultured bacterium. RNAcentral describes it as "partial 16S ribosomal RNA". It matches the Rfam family "Bacterial small subunit ribosomal RNA", at positions 28 to 507 of the family's 1533-position model. The record is from RNAcentral.